UGUGUGGCUGUAAGUCGCUCACUUGCCA
Molecule: small RNA, 28 nt
Filed under: Bombyx mori (domestic silkworm)
Lineage: Eukaryota; Metazoa; Arthropoda; Insecta; Lepidoptera; Bombycidae
Description: ovarian small RNA-9120
Source: RNAcentral